GAUAAACGCUGGCGGCGUGCUUCAGGCAUGCAAGUCGAACGGACCUUCGGGUCAGUGGCGGACGGGUGAGUAACACGUAAGCAACCUGCCCAGAAGUGGGGAAUAACCCACCGAAAGGUGAGCUAAUACCGCAUGUGAUGUGCCUUCCCUGGAGGGCUCAUUAAAGGCUUCGGUCGCUUCUGGAGGGGCUUGCGUUCGAUUAGCUAGUUGGUGGGGUAAUGGCCUACCAAGGCUGCGAUCGAUAGCUGGUCUGAGAGGACGGACAGCCACACGGGGACUGAGAUACGGCCCCGACUCCUACGGGAGGCAG
This 310-nucleotide ribosomal RNA is filed under the name uncultured Chloroflexota bacterium. Its description in RNAcentral is "bacterial SSU rRNA". It matches the Rfam family "Bacterial small subunit ribosomal RNA", at positions 28 to 351 of the family's 1533-position model. The record is from RNAcentral. Lineage: Bacteria; Bacillati; Chloroflexota.